AUACUUCACAUGGCAAGGAGAUACCAUGAUCACCAAGGUGAUUUCCCCAGGACCCAUCCAUUGAAGUCUGGAUGUAUUCAUUCCAGGGAUUUCUCCCAAAUGUAGAAAACUCAACUGCAUAAUUCUGGAUGUGGAGGACUACAAUUUAUACUCUUCUC
Fukomys damarensis (Damara mole-rat) is the source of this 158-nucleotide small nuclear RNA. Its record names the gene U1. It matches the Rfam family "U1 spliceosomal RNA". Rfam says of the family: U1 is a small nuclear RNA (snRNA) component of the spliceosome (involved in pre-mRNA splicing). NCBI's taxonomy places the organism in Eukaryota, Metazoa, Chordata, Mammalia, Rodentia, Bathyergidae. The record is from Ensembl.